Molecule: transfer RNA, 67 nt
Filed under: Paracercion v-nigrum
Lineage: Eukaryota; Metazoa; Arthropoda; Insecta; Odonata; Coenagrionidae
Description: tRNA-Phe
Rfam family: tRNA
About the family: Transfer RNA (tRNA) molecules are approximately 80 nucleotides in length. Their secondary structure includes four short double-helical elements and three loops (D, anti-codon, and T loops).
Source: RNAcentral
AUUUGAAUAGCUUAAGAUUAAAGCUUUACAUUGAAGCUGUAAAUAUGGUAUUAAUUACCUUCAAAUA